RNAcentral lists this non-coding RNA (23 nucleotides) under Cricetulus griseus (Chinese hamster). Lineage: Eukaryota; Metazoa; Chordata; Mammalia; Rodentia; Cricetidae. The record is from RNAcentral.
AGGAAAGGUGAGCUAUGGAAGAG